RNAcentral lists this ribosomal RNA (388 nucleotides) under uncultured bacterium. RNAcentral's name for it is "bacterial SSU rRNA". It matches the Rfam family "Bacterial small subunit ribosomal RNA", at positions 28 to 417 of the family's 1533-position model. The record is from RNAcentral.
GACGAACGCUGGCGGCGUGCUUAACACAUGCAAGUCGAGCGGUAAGGCCCUUUCGGGGGUACACGAGCGGCGAACGGGUGAGUAACACGUGGGUGACCUGCCCUCAGCUCUGGGAUAAGCCUGGGAAACCGGGUCUAAUACCGGAUAUGACUCCAUGACGCAUGUUGUGGGGUGGAAAGCCUUGUGCGGCUGAGGAUGGGCCCGCGGCCUAUCAGCUUGUUGGUGGGGUGANGGCCUACCAAGGCGACGACGGGUAGCCGGCCUGAGAGGGCGACCGGCCACACUGGGACUGAGACACGGCCCAGACUCCUACGGGAGGCAGCAGUGGGGAAUCUUGCGCAAUGGACGAAAGCCUGACGCAGCGACGCCGCGUGAGGGAUGACGGCCU